Molecule: non-coding RNA, 31 nt
Filed under: Mus musculus (house mouse)
Lineage: Eukaryota; Metazoa; Chordata; Mammalia; Rodentia; Muridae
Source: RNAcentral
UGUUCUUUAUGUUUAGAUUUUGAGAAAGAAA